CGUGAGGAACCUGCCUUCCAGAGGGGGACAACAGUUGGAAACGACUGCUAAUACCGCAUGACACAUGACCGUGGCAUCACGGACAUGUCAAAGAUUUAUCGCUGGAAGAUGGCCUCGCGUCUGAUUAGCUAGUAGGCGGGGUAACGGCCCACCUAGGCGACGAUCAGUAGCCGGACUGAGAGGCUGACCGGCCACAUUGGGACUGAGAUACGGCCCAGACUCCUACGGAAGGCAGCAG
RNAcentral lists this ribosomal RNA (238 nucleotides) under uncultured bacterium. RNAcentral describes it as "partial 16S ribosomal RNA". It matches the Rfam family "Bacterial small subunit ribosomal RNA", at positions 116 to 354 of the family's 1533-position model. The record is from RNAcentral.